AGAGCGAACGCUGGCGGCAGGCUUAACACAUGCAAGUCGAGCGGGCGUAGCAAUACGUCAGCGGCAGACGGGUGAGUAACGCGUGGGAACAUACCUUUUGGUUCGGAACAACACAGGGAAACUUGUGCUAAUACCGGAUAAGCCCUUACGGGGAAAGAUUUAUCGCCGAAAGAUUGGCCCGCGUCUGAUUAGCUAGUUGGUGAGGUAACGGCUCACCAAGGCGACGAUCAGUAGCUGGUCUGAGAGGAUGAUCAGCCACAUUGGGACUGAGACACGGCCCAAACUCCUACGGGAGGCAGCAGUGGGGAAUAUUGGACAAUGGGCGCAAGCCUGAUCCAGCCAUGCCGCGUGAGUGAUGAAGGCCCUAGGGUUGUAAAGCUUCUUUUGUGCGGGAAGAUAAUGACGGUACCGACAAGAAUAAGCCCCGGCUAACUUCGUGCCAGCAGCCGC
This 450-nucleotide ribosomal RNA is filed under the name uncultured bacterium. Its description in RNAcentral is "SSU rRNA". It matches the Rfam family "Bacterial small subunit ribosomal RNA", at positions 26 to 518 of the family's 1533-position model. The record is from RNAcentral.